Molecule: non-coding RNA, 307 nt
Organism: Ictidomys tridecemlineatus (thirteen-lined ground squirrel)
Lineage: Eukaryota; Metazoa; Chordata; Mammalia; Rodentia; Sciuridae
Source: RefSeq, a predicted model, not a curated record
CUCAAGUUCGAAGCCCAGACAGGUCCUCCCCUCUGGACCUCAGUGUCUGCCUCCGCGCAGUGGAGACCUAACACCAACCUCAGGUCAGCUUGGAGUCAAGGGACAGAGUGGAGACAGCAAAGCUUCCUGAUCUGCCAACCCCGGGGGCAGGACAGUUUCCACAAAUGAGGGAAAACACGUGACCCCUGACCUUCAGCGUGGGACUUACUUCACUCAACACGAUGGUCUCCAGUUCCGUCCAGGUUCCUGCAGAUGACGUAACCUCGUCUUCUCUAUGGCUGAAUAAAACUCCGUGGUGCACACAGAA